CCGGCCGAACCCCUCAUCUUCUCUUUUCCUCUUCUUCUUCUUCCCCAAAUCGAUCAUCUUCAUCUCCCCUAAACCGAUCAACUUCCUCCCUCACUCUCUCACGACGUCGUCCUUUCCUUUCUCCUGACCUCUUCCUUGCAUCACCCACUGCCGAUGCCCUCUCCGCAGUCCUUCUCUUCCGUCCCUGCCCAAGCGCCGGUUACGCUCGAGUCAUCGCCGGUCGAGCCCUUCUUCCGAUCGCCUUCAGCCGUGCCCUAGAUCUAUCUCUCAUCGCCACACCUCUGCACGGGGCAAUCUCCGACCAAGGGCAGAGAGCCAUGCCCUAGUUGUCUCCAGCUCGCCACUGGCUACUGCCGCCGCCGAUCGGCCAGCACUUCCUAGUGCAGCCGACGCCUCUCCUCUCUUCACUGUGUCGAUUUCCUCCAGAGAGGGAAACUACCAGAAAGGGGCUUGCUGCAUUGAUCUUCGCCAGGGCAGGCCGCGACCAGUGCCACCGUGACCAGUGACCAUGAGUUGCCACCAUCGACUCACGACCAAUCAUCGCAGCCACACCCGAGUCCUAGUUGGUUAGAGUUGAUCGUGAGCGGUUUUUCCAGACAGUUGCUUUCUUCUUCAGUGCUUUGGUAUCGAUCUACUGCCGACAAUCUAUUCCUUGCUGAUCUCAACAACCACUAGGCCUAGCCGUCGGAUAGGGAACAAUCAAUUGGGGGGUAAAUUGUUUUUGAAAUCCACAACUCCAACCUCGCUCUAAUUAGGUCUACUGGUAGCAAGUUGUCUCCGACUGUGGAUCACCGGCAGAUCAUCCGGAUUUGGGAUUUUGAUUCGAGAUGAUGUUUCGAUGAGGGAUCUAUUUCGGAUACGAUCCUCUUAUUGG
This is a long non-coding RNA of Zingiber officinale, 874 nucleotides long. RefSeq lists it as uncharacterized. Lineage: Eukaryota; Viridiplantae; Streptophyta; Magnoliopsida; Zingiberales; Zingiberaceae. The record is from RefSeq and is a predicted model, not a curated record. The transcript has 3 exons.